UACGGAGGGUGCAAGCGUUAUCCGGAUUCACUGGGUUUAAAGGGUGCGUAGGUGGGCUAGUAAGUCAGUGGUGAAAUCUCCCGGGCUUAACCCGGAAACUGCCAUUGAUACUAUUAGUCUUGAAUGUCGUGGAGGUAAGCGGAAUAUGUCAUGUAGCGGUGAAAUGCUUAGAUAUGACAUAGAACACCGAUAGCGUAGGCAGCUUGCUACACGAAUAUUGACACUGGAGGCAACGAAAAGCGUGGGGGAUCAAAACAGG
This 259-nucleotide ribosomal RNA is filed under the name uncultured bacterium. RNAcentral's name for it is "partial 16S ribosomal RNA". It matches the Rfam family "Bacterial small subunit ribosomal RNA", at positions 524 to 776 of the family's 1533-position model. The record is from RNAcentral.